UCGGACAUGGUGUAACGGGAACACAUGCUCUUAUUCUGGGGCAGCAGAAAAAUUCAGAGGUGGUCGAGGGUUCGAAUCCCUCUGUCUGAC
Mycena vulgaris is the source of this 90-nucleotide non-coding RNA. NCBI's taxonomy places the organism in Eukaryota, Fungi, Basidiomycota, Agaricomycetes, Agaricales, Mycenaceae. The record is from the annotation of a GenBank genome assembly.